Molecule: ribosomal RNA, 498 nt
Filed under: uncultured bacterium
Lineage: Bacteria
Description: partial 16S ribosomal RNA
Rfam family: Bacterial small subunit ribosomal RNA
Source: RNAcentral
AUUGAACGCUGGCGGCAUGCCUUACACAUGCAAGUCGAACGGUAACAGGUCUUCGGAUGCUGACGAGUGGCGAACGGGUGGGUAAUACAUCGGAACGUGCCUAGUAGUGGGGGAUAACUACUCGAAAGAGUGGCUAAUACCGCAUGAGAUCUACGGAUGAGAGCAGGGGAUCGCAAGACCUUGUGCUACUAGAGCGGCCGAUGGCAGAUUAGGUAGUUGGUGGGAUAAAAGCUUACCAAGCCGACGAUCUGUAGCUGGUCUGAGAGGACGAUCAGCCACACUGGGACUGAGAAACGGCCCAGACUCCUACGGGAGGCAGCAGUGGGGAAUUUUGGAAAAUGGGCGCAAGCCUGAUCCAGCAAUGCCGCGUGCAGGAUGAAGGCCUUCGGGUUGUAAACUGCUUUUGUACGGAACGAAAAGCCCCGGGUUAAUACCCUGGGGUCAUGACGGUACCGUAAGAAUAAGCACCGGCUAACUACGUGCCAGCCGCCGCAGUAA